RNAcentral lists this ribosomal RNA (394 nucleotides) under uncultured bacterium. RNAcentral describes it as "partial 16S ribosomal RNA". It matches the Rfam family "Bacterial small subunit ribosomal RNA", at positions 523 to 918 of the family's 1533-position model. The record is from RNAcentral.
AUACGUAGGGUGCAAGCGUUAAUCGGAAUUACUGGGCGUAAAGCGUGCGCAGGCGGUUUGUAAGACAGUGGUGAAAUCCCCGGGCUCAACCUGGGAACUGCCAUUGUGACUGCAAGGCUGGAGUGCGGCAGAGGGGGAUGGAAUUCCGCGUGUAGCAGUGAAAUGCGUAGAUAUGCGGAGGUACACCGAUGGCGAAGGCAAUCCCCUGGGCCUGCACUGACGCUCAUGCACGAAAGCGUGGGGAGCAAACAGGAUUAGAUACCCUGGUAGUCCACGCCCUAAACGAUGUCAACUGGUUGUUGGGGAUUUAUUUUCUCAGUAACGAAGCUAACGCGUGAAGUUGACCGCCUGGGGAGUACGGCCGCAAGGUUAAAACUCAAAGGAAUUGACGGGG